Molecule: ribosomal RNA, 252 nt
Filed under: uncultured bacterium
Lineage: Bacteria
Description: partial 16S ribosomal RNA
Rfam family: Bacterial small subunit ribosomal RNA
Source: RNAcentral
UACGUAGGUCCCGAGCGUUGUCCGGAUUUAUUGGGCGUAAAGUGAGCGCAGGUGGUUUAUUAAGUCUGGUGUAAAAGGCAGUGGCUCAACCAUUGUAUGCAUUGGAAACUGGUAGACUUGAGUGCAGGAGAGGAGAGUGGAAUUCCAUGUGUAGCGGUGAAAUGCGUAGAUAUAUGGAGGAACACCGGUGGCGAAAGCGGCUCUCUGGCCUGUAACUGACACUGAGGCUCGAAGGCGUGGGGAGCAAACAGG